This is a long non-coding RNA of Sander lucioperca (pikeperch), 1034 nucleotides long. RefSeq lists it as uncharacterized. The transcript is spliced from 2 exons. Lineage: Eukaryota; Metazoa; Chordata; Actinopteri; Perciformes; Percidae. The record is from RefSeq and is a predicted model, not a curated record.
GAACGCUACCAAGUCGUGAGUCGUGACUUGAAGUUGUAAUUUACGGGCUAACAAUUGUGUCUGGAACGCAGCAUUAGCUGCAGUAGAUGGCUGUCGGCCCGCCCCCAGUUUGUAAAAGGGUUAGGGUUAGUACCGAGUAGAGUAGAGUACCGACACAGAAGCUUUAGCAGCUGCUAAACGCAUUUUAGAAAACUAAAUAAAUGUAUAUAAAAAAAGAAAAAAGAAGAGCACAAAACGACAGUGGGUGAUAUUAAAGAACAACUUGUUGAUUGCUAAGGCCAUAUGGUCAAAAUGAAAUGAUUUAUUAAUAAUGUAAUAACAAUAACAUAUAACAACAACUUAUUUCACCAGUAAAUAGCUGUUAAACGACAAAAACAACUAGAUGGGAAAACGUUAACGCUAACGUUACCUGCUACCAAGUCUAUUAUGUCAACUAGCGCCACGUGCAGCGAUGCUUCUGUUGCCUGUAACGUCCGUAACGUUUCAGAGCAUCAGAGAGCAGCGCAGGCAUUUCAGAGGCACCGAAAUGAGGCCCCGAAAUCCGCGUUGCUAUUCAGUCCGGUAGAUACCGGUCGUUUAGGCACUGGUGUCGUAUUAGCACCGGGCCUCGGUACCCAACCCUAGUCAGACGGCCCUUUACGACGGGGAACUGAAGCCGUUAUCUCUGCUCUCUUCAAAAUCACCAGACUCCAGUCAUUUUCGCAGAACACACUUCGGUUAUUGUGUGCAGGGUGUCGGACUAGGCGACCGAGUACCCAGAAGAUGCUAGACUGAAUAGCUGUGGAUGUGGGGAGGGGGCAGAAUGCCUUUGUACAGGGCCCCGAAUUUUGUGCUACGCCCCUGAUUGUGUGACUUUGUUGAGUCCAAACUAACCAACUGAAAACACCAAAGUCCCACAAUUACACAAACACACUGACUGAUGGAGUGGUAUCAGAGCCAUAAUGUAUCUGUCUUUAUACGUUUAUCUUUAUAAGUCAUUUUGAUGAUUUGAAACAACUCUGAAAAAUGAAAAAAUGAAUAAAACUGUACAAAAA